RNAcentral lists this long non-coding RNA (1113 nucleotides) under Oncorhynchus kisutch (coho salmon). RNAcentral's name for it is "lncRNA (ENSOKIG00005050620.1)". The record is from RNAcentral. Lineage: Eukaryota; Metazoa; Chordata; Actinopteri; Salmoniformes; Salmonidae.
UCUGUUUAUAUAUGGUCAAAUGAUAGGAAGGGCAGUAUCAGCCCUAGACAGGAUUCUGUUAAGGACUUGAGACCUGAGUAUCAGCCCCUGAGUGCUGAUGAUCUAGACCUCUGUGCUUCUCCUCUCCUGGCCAGGCUGGUUCUCCUCUCCUUCUCCUCUCCUGGCCAGGCUGGUUCUCCUCUCCUUCUCCUCUCCUGGCCAGGCUGGUUCUCCUCUCCUUCUCCUCUCCUGGCCAGGCUGGUUCUCCUCUCCUUCUCCUCUCCUGGCCAGGCUGGUUCUCCUCUCAUUCUCCUCUCCUGGCCAGGCUGGUUCUCCUCUCCUUCUCCUCUCCUGGCCAGGCUGGUUCUCCUCUCCUUCUCCUCUCCUGGCCAGGCUGGUUCUCCUCUCCUUCUCCUCUCCUGGCCAGGCUGGUUCUCCUCUCCUUCUCCUCUCCUGGCCAGGCUGGUUCUCCUCUCCUUCUCCUCUCCUGGCCAGGCUGGUUCUCCUCUCCUUCUCCUCUCCUGGCCAGGCUGGUUCUCCUCUCCUUCUCCUCUCCUGGCCAGGCUGGUUCUCCUCUCCUUCUCCUCUCCUGGCCAGGCUGGUUCUCCUCUCCUUCUCCUCUCCUGGCCAGGCUGGUUCUCCUCUCCUUCUCCUCUCCUGGCCAGGCUGGUUCUCCUCUCCUUCUCCUCUCCUGGCCAGGCUGGAUCUCCUCUCCUUCUCCUCUCCUGGCCAGGCUGGUUCUCCUCUCCUUCUCCUCUCCUGGCCAGGCUGGUUCUCCUCUCCUUCUCCUCUCCUGGCCAGGCUGGUUCUCCUCUCCUUCUCCUCUCCUGGCCAGGCUGGUUCUCCUCUCAUUCUCCUCUCCUGGCCAGGCUGGUUCUCCUCUCCUUCUCCUCUCCUGGCCAGGCUGGUUCUCCUCUCCUUCUCCUCUCCUGGCCAGGCUGGUUCUCCUCUCCUUCUCCUCUCCUGGCCAGGCUGGUUCUCCUCUCCUUCUCCUCUCCUGGCCAGGCUGGAUCUCCUCUCCUUCUCCUCUCCUGGCCAGGCUGGUUCUCCUCUCCUUCUCCUCUCCUGGCCAGGCUGGUUCUCCUCUCCUUCUCCUCUCCUGGCCAGGCUGGUAGGGACCAGGGCUCUAGCUGA